Long non-coding RNA from Ictalurus punctatus (channel catfish), 3393 nucleotides. Lineage: Eukaryota; Metazoa; Chordata; Actinopteri; Siluriformes; Ictaluridae. The record is from Ensembl.
CACACACAGGACACACAGGUGGGACUCGAACCCCCAACCCUGGAGGUGUGAGACGAACGUGCUAAUAACAUGAAAUAAGUUAAUUCCUGUUCUCACUUACAUUAUAGCAGCUACAAUCUCUCAUUCCCUCACCAGCCCUCUCUUUUCUCUCUCCGUAAUAAGAUCAGAGAUCAGCUGAGUAAAAUUCAGCUUCUCAUGUUACCAAGAAACCGUAAAGCGUAAUCUCCUCUGUCCUGAAGACGUCGAAGGUUUCAGCUUUAUCUCUGAUUGUUACGAAACACUGACACUGUAGACUUAAAUGUUACCUGAAUGUCUCCUUACAUCUCCUAACUUCACCAUGCUCCACAUUACACACAUUUCAAUCUGUUUAUGUAGAGCGUACACCGUACAAGUCCUGGUGAGUGAGCUGUUACUAUAAAAAUGAUAGCUCACAGUACUAGACUGAGAAUUAUUCCGGAGCCUCUGCCGUUCUGUAAUCUGGGAACCUGUGCUAACAUUAAAGGUCUGAGUUGGUAACGUUAACCACCUUCCUCAACUGACUUGGGGUAAAAAUGAUUUAUCCCUGAAAGAAAAAAGUCUCUAAGUUCUUAUAAAGGAGCCGCUGUAUCCGAGAGACACUUUUAGGCAAACACCAGAGACGGAGAACAGCUUUGAGAAGUGCUGAUGGUUUAUUUGUUAAGCAACCUGUCACAUCCAGAGCCUCAUGAAAUUCCUUGUGGAGCACAGACUUCCGCUCCAAGCCCUUCUGCUCACUAUCACCGUCCUACUAUCCAGCUGUAGCAUACUAAAGAGUCUCAUUUGAGCACUAUAUAGACAAGCCACAAACACUCACAUUGCGAAGUCUUGCCGUUCAUUGUCCUUGUUCAUUACUGAGCCAUGUACUCUAUCUGCUUCCUAUUUUGAUAUCUGCUUUGUAUUGUUUAUGUCUGGCUUUUCGUCUGCUACACAUAUACCUGUCUGACCUGUGUCUGUUGACUAUAAUUCUGCCAGAUGAUCUGGAUUUGUUUAAAUAAAGCUCGUAUCAGCUUUCCGAGUUACACGAUCUGGCCUUCCAGUUUAAGAGGUCUCUGACUGUGCCAGAGCCAUGAAAUAUCCAAUCUAGCGUGUUGUUUAGGAAUUAUUAUUUAGUAAGAAAUACUGCAUUGACCAGCUACAUUUUUGCUGCUAACAUUGUACUUAUAAAAAUAUUGUACUGCUGUACUUUCUACCUGUCUGCUACCUCCAUAAGUGCUAUGUCCAUCUAUGUUAAACAGACAGAUAUAUGGUGUAUAUAAAACACGUGUCUGUUUGAUAUAGGUGCGUGUAUACUGACUCCUCAAUGCAGCAAAAUAUGGACAAAAUACUUUUUUCUCUCUGAGUCUUAAUGGGUGUACUCUUUGGAAAUGUCAAAUAUAGAAAUCAAUUACAAUGUUUAUUUUUUUCUUGGAAUAAAGACUGGGGUUUUACAUUAAAUUAAUCUAGACUAAGCUAACACUGAGCAGAUUGGUCAAAUAUAAGACCUACUAAUUAACAGAAAAUAAAUGCUGUCAAUGCAGUAGAACUGAGAAGAAAAGAAAGGUCAAAUAUAAUUAUUCUUUUCGGAUGAGAAUAAUACAUCAAGCCAGCACUCCUGCGUAGCAUUAAAUAAACCAACAUGUCUGUCUGUAAUAGCAGGAUGGCACUUUUUUUUCCUGCCCUUGCUUUGCUCAUUUGAAACAGGAAGUCGUGACUGGACUCUGACAUGUAGCAGAUGGCAGCUGAAGAUUUCAUGGGUCGAGAGAAAUAAAUGUAGCGUCUCCGCUGGUUUAGGAUAAACAGCUCAGUCUCUACUGGUGCUCUGCUCACUGUCAGCUGGAGUGUGUGUUCAGGGGUCACUCCGAGGCCGAGUGUGUAUUCGAGGGUCGCUCCGAGGCGGAGUGUGUGUUCGAGGGUCAUUCCAAGGCCGAGUGUGUGUUCUGUGGUCGCUCUGAAACCGAGUGUGUGUUCAGAGGUCGCUCUGAGGCCGAGUGUGUGUUCAGGGGUCACUCCGAAACUGAGUGUGUGUUCAGGGGUCGCUCCAAGGCCGAGUGUGUGUUCAGGGGUCGCUCCGAGGCCGAGUGUGUGUUCAGGGGUCGCUCCAAUGCGGAGUGUGUGUCCAGGGGUCGCUCCGAGGCCGAGUGUGUGUUCAAAGUUUACUGCCAGCAAAAUUGCGGGUCCAUAGAGCAGUAAAGUCUUAAGAAAUUGUUUGAAAGCCUGGAUUUUGCUGAAAACUCUAUACCAGUUAUACCCUGUGUGAUUUCAGUCAUAUUUGAAGAUUAUUUAUUGUCACACUGUAUAAGUAACACACACACUCUGCACAGUCAGUGUGAGGUCAUCAGGAGCAGCAAGUUUCAUUUUCUUUUUUGUCAUUGGAAGUGGAUUUUAUUUAUGUGGUGAACACAGACAAGCAGAGUGAUACACACAGUCAAACACAUCCCGGUGGGACUUUAGACCAUAUACGCACUCUUAUAAACGCUGCUCAACCAAUCAAAUUAGAGGACCAGAACUAACCGUGGUUAUACAGUGGAUGGUGAGUGUGUCACAUUAUUUAAUCUGAGACCACCAUCUCAACUUGACUAAAGAAUUAUUGAAAAGGUGUGUUUUUUUCUGCAGCAACAAAAUUGGAAAUCCGGUAAAGUCAGCUUAAGUCAGGGCUGAUGUGUUUUGUCCUUUUGGUGAUGUAAUUUUUAAAAAUAAUUGCCAUCAAUUAUAUUUUCCUGAAUCAUCCUUCAUUCAGGGGCAAUGGUAGGGCAGCGGUUAAGGCUCUGGGUUACUGAUCAGAAGGUCGGAGCUUCAAGCCCCAGCACUGCCAGGCUGCCACUGUUGGGCCCUUGAGCAAGGCCCUUAACCCACUCUACUCCAGGGGGCGCUGUAUCAUGGCUGACCGUGUGCUCUGACCCCAACUUCCUGACAUGCUGGGGUAUGUGACCAAUAAAGACUCAUUAUGAUUAUUCUUUGUUUCCUGCCAAAUGUCUUGCCCACCUUAGUGACCAUUUCUGCUAUUAUAACUGAACCAAUUUGGACUAUGUAUUUGAUAUAUAUAUAUAUUCCCCUUGUCUCCUGCCCAUUGUGCCUGUGGCAGUCCUGUAAUGAACUCUUCUCUCACCGAUGUAAAUGACUGCAUGGGUGAGAGGUCAUGGAGUUUGUCUCCAUUUGUCUCUAUAACGAGCACAUCCGUUACACUCUUUCCAAUUUAACCACUUCAGACUACAGCGAUACACCUUAGCCAACACUGAACCAAUGUGAAGUUACAGACUUUAAUUAACGAUACAGUGGCUGUUUGCCAUCAGCAGGAUGAAACUUAUUAGAUCUAGAACCAGUGCCAAGUUCUGAAACUGCUAAUAGAGAAAAUCUGACAUUUGCUAAGGCAAAACAUGAAACAAUUUACUGUGCAGG